This 402-nucleotide ribosomal RNA is filed under the name uncultured bacterium. Its description in RNAcentral is "bacterial SSU rRNA". It matches the Rfam family "Bacterial small subunit ribosomal RNA", at positions 357 to 776 of the family's 1533-position model. The record is from RNAcentral.
GGGGAUAUUGCGCAAUGGGGGAAACCCUGACGCAGCAACGCCGCGUGAAGGAAGACGGUUUUCGGAUUGUAAACUUCUUUGACGAGGGACGAUAAUGACGGUACCUCGAAAACAAGCCACGGCUAACUACGUGCCAGCAGCCGCGGUAAUACGUAGGUGGCGAGCGUUGUCCGGAAUUACUGGGUGUAAAGGGCGAGUAGGCGGACAUACAAGUCAGAAGUGAAAUCUAGGGGCUCAACCCCUAAACUGCUUUUGAAACUGUAUGCCUUGAGUGCCGGAGAGGAAAGCGGAAUUCCUAGUGUAGCGGUGAAAUGCGUAGAUAUUAGGAGGAACACCAGUGGCGAAGGCGGCUUUCUGGACGGUAACUGACGCUGAGGCGCGAAAGCGUGGGGAGCAAACAGG